RNAcentral lists this ribosomal RNA (403 nucleotides) under uncultured bacterium. Its description in RNAcentral is "partial 16S ribosomal RNA". It matches the Rfam family "Bacterial small subunit ribosomal RNA", at positions 28 to 526 of the family's 1533-position model. The record is from RNAcentral.
GACGAACGCUGGCGGCGUGCCUAAUACAUGCAAGUCGAACGCAGUGGGGACGGGUGAUUAACACGUGGGUAACCUCCCAUCAGAGGGGAUAACACUUGGAAACAGGUGCUAAACCGAUACUGAUUGAUGGACCCGCGGUGCAUUAGGUAGUUGGGGGGGUAACGGCCCACAAAGGCCACGAUGCAUAGCGGGCCGGAGAGGUGGAUCGGCCACACUGGAACGGAGACACGGUCCAGACUCCUACGGGAGGCAGCAGUAGGGAAUAUUGGGCAAUGGACGAAAGGCUGACCGAGCAACGCCGCGUGAGUGAAGAAGGUUUUCGGGUCGUAAAACUCUGUUGUUAGAGAAGCGGUAUCUAACCAGAAAGCAACGGCUAACUACGUGCCAGCCGCCGCGGUAAUAC